GGUGAGACAAGUGGCUUUUUGCUGUUGAUUGUCAGUGUUUUAUUGAAGGCUUGUACUCUACUAAAGAAAGCAAGAUCAGGGCAUAAAGAAACUUCAUCACUCAGUAAAGCUGUUCUGACCCCAGCCAAAACAAGAUGAAAAAUUGACAGGCUUUUGAAACUGCACUCUGUUGUCCAGAAACUGGCUUCUCCAUGAUGACCUACCAGUGACCUUUGUCAUGACACUGAAGGACUACCCUCUCCAGGGGUUGUCUAUGUGCUUUGAGGUACGCUUCAACAUUCUAACAGGCAGACUACAAUUCCGCCUUAGCCACCACUUCUUGCUUGUGAAGAGCCUCAAGGUCAGCUAGAGGUGAAAGACUGGGGCACUCUUAGCUCUUUUCUUAAGAUGUGCACAACUCUGCACACGUGCUUGGCAUUCUAGAUUCCCAGGAAUAGGUCAGAGCUCUUCAGAGCCACCUACGGAGAUACCAUUCCCCAGGUUUUCCUUUUAAAAUUUUUGGUCAGCUUCUUGUUAGCACCAGGUACUAUCUCCACCUCAGUCGGCAUCAAUGUUAAAUCAUUGCCACUGAUUACUUGCAACAAAUUAUGUAAGGACAUGGCUAUUCACGCUUUCCAAAUUGCCAUGGACCUAAAGAGAGGAGAAUGGGAAUAGAGCAAGUUAAAAUGUCACAAAGUUCAUGGUCCUUACCGAUAUUUAGUAAUUUUUUUUCUUUCCCUCUCUCUUCUUUUUUUCUUUUUUUUUUUUUUUUUGAAACAGGAUCUCACUCUGUUGCUCAAGUUGGAGUACAGUGGUGCUAUCUUAGCUCACUGCAACCUCAAACUCCUGGUCACAAGUGAUCCUCCAACCUCAGCCUCCUGAGUAGCUGGGACUACAAGUGCAUGCCACCAUGCCCAUCUAAUUUUUAAUUUUUUGCAGAGACGGGGGUCUCACUUUGUUGACUAGCCUGGUCUCAAACUCCUGGCCUCAAGUGAUACUCAGUCAUUUUUCUUGAAUAAAUAUUUCUUAGAUUGUUGUAAACCUUCAGUGAAUUUCCAAGUUUCUGAAAAAGUUGGUUUUGAUUAUUUUUGCCACUGUUCUUCUUGUUUCUGUGGGGUUGCAGAAUUUUCACAGGUCCUAUUUCACCAUCCUCCAGGUACUUCUCUUAAUUUACUUUUAACAUGUUGUUCUAUUAAGUUUAAAUUGAUUUAAGCUCUAUUUAAACUGUGAUAUUUAGAAUAUGCUAGAAAUUACACAAUUUGCAUCUGCUAUUUAUUUAUUUAUUUAUUUAUUUAUUUAUUUAUUUAUUUAUUUUGAGACAGGGUCUUACCCUGUCAGCCAGGCUGGAGUGCAGUGAUGAGACCAUAGCUAACUGUAGCCUCAACCUUCUGGGCUCAAGCAAUCCUUCCAUCUCAACCUGCCAAUUAGCUGGGCCCAAGAAUGUGCCACCA
This 1430-nucleotide long non-coding RNA is filed under the name Homo sapiens (human). RNAcentral describes it as "HSALNT0127665". The record is from RNAcentral. Lineage: Eukaryota; Metazoa; Chordata; Mammalia; Primates; Hominidae.